GGGGUUGUGGCUCAGUGAUAGAGUGCUCACCUUACAGGUGAGAGACUCUGGGUUCAAUCCUCAGCACCACA
Molecule: transfer RNA, 71 nt
Filed under: Marmota monax (woodchuck)
Lineage: Eukaryota; Metazoa; Chordata; Mammalia; Rodentia; Sciuridae
Description: tRNA.Val
Rfam family: tRNA
About the family: Transfer RNA (tRNA) molecules are approximately 80 nucleotides in length. Their secondary structure includes four short double-helical elements and three loops (D, anti-codon, and T loops).
Source: RNAcentral